GCGGCAUAGCUUAGUUGGCUAGAGCGUCCGGUUCAUACCCGGAAGGUCGUAGGUUCAAGUCCCACUGCCGC
RNAcentral lists this transfer RNA (71 nucleotides) under human gut metagenome. It matches the Rfam family "tRNA". From Rfam's summary of the family: Transfer RNA (tRNA) molecules are approximately 80 nucleotides in length. Their secondary structure includes four short double-helical elements and three loops (D, anti-codon, and T loops). The record is from RNAcentral. RNAcentral also lists the same sequence under 1 other name.